Molecule: ribosomal RNA, 495 nt
Filed under: uncultured bacterium
Lineage: Bacteria
Description: partial 16S ribosomal RNA
Rfam family: Bacterial small subunit ribosomal RNA
Source: RNAcentral
CGAACGCUGGCGGCGUGCCUAAUACAUGCAAGUUGAGCGCUGAAGGUUGGUACUUGUACCAACUGGAUGAGCAGCGAACGGGUGAGUAACGCGUGGGGAAUCUGCCUUUGAGCGGGGGACAACAUUUGGAAACGAAUGCUAAUACCGCAUAAAAACUUUAAACACAAGUUUUAAGUUUGAAAGAUGCAAUUGCAUCACUCAAAGAUGAUCCCGCGUUGUAUUAGCUAGUUGGUGAGGUAAAGGCUCACCAAGGCGAUGAUACAUAGCCGACCUGAGAGGGUGAUCGGCCACAUUGGGACUGAGACACGGCCCAAACUCCUACGGGAGGCAGCAGUAGGGAAUCUUCGGCAAUAGACGAAAGUCUGACCGAGCAACGCCGCGUGAGUGAAGAAGGUUUUCGGAUCGUAAAACUCUGUUGGUAGAGAAGAACGUUGGUGAGAGUGGAAAGCUCAUCAAGUGACGGUAACUACCCAGAAAGGGACGGCUAACUACGUG